RNAcentral lists this ribosomal RNA (500 nucleotides) under uncultured bacterium. RNAcentral describes it as "partial 16S ribosomal RNA". It matches the Rfam family "Bacterial small subunit ribosomal RNA", at positions 30 to 523 of the family's 1533-position model. The record is from RNAcentral.
AUUGAACGCUGGCGGCAUGCCUUACACAUGCAAGUCGAACGGCAGCACGGACUUCGGUCUGGUGGCGAGUGGCGAACGGGUGAGUAAUACAUCGGAACGUGCCCAGUAAUGGGGGAUAACGCAGCGAAAGUUGUGCUAAUAUCGCAUACGCCCUGAGGGGGAAAGUGGGGGAUCGCAAGACCUCAUGUUAUUGGAGCGGCCGAUGGCUGAUUAGCUAGUUGGUGAGGUAAAGGCUCACCAAGGCGACGAUCAGUAGCAGGUCUGAGAGGACGACCAGCCACACUGGGACUGAGACACGGCCCAGACUCCUACGGGAGGCAGCAGUGGGGAAUUUUGGACAAUGGGCGAAAGCCUGAUCCAGCAAUGCCGCGUGUGCGAAGAAGGCCUUCGGGUUGUAAACCGCUUUUGUCAGGGAAGAAAUCCUCUGGGUUAAUACCUCGGGGGGAUGACGGUACCUGAAGAAUAAGCACCGGCUAACUACGUGCCAGCCGCCGCGGUAA